Molecule: ribosomal RNA, 634 nt
Filed under: uncultured Bacteroidaceae bacterium
Lineage: Bacteria; Pseudomonadati; Bacteroidota; Bacteroidia; Bacteroidales; Bacteroidaceae
Description: bacterial SSU rRNA
Rfam family: Bacterial small subunit ribosomal RNA
Source: RNAcentral
UUAUCCGGAUUUAUUGGGUUUAAAGGGAGCGUAGGUGGAUUGUUAAGUCAGUUGUGAAAGUUUGCGGCUCAACCGUAAAAUUGCAGUUGAAACUGGCAGUCUUGAGUACAGUAGAGGUGGGCGGAAUUCGUGGUGUAGCGGUGAAAUGCUUAGAUAUCACGAAGAACUCCGAUUGCGAAGGCAGCUCACUAGACUGCAACUGACACUGAUGCUCGAAAGUGUGGGUAUCAAACAGGAUUAGAUACCCUGGUAGUCCACACAGUAAACGAUGAAUACUCGCUGUUUGCGAUAUACAGUAAGCGGCCAAGCGAAAGCAUUAAGUAUUCCACCUGGGGGGUACGCCGGCAACGGUGAAACUCAAAGGAAUUGACGGGGGCCCGCACAAGCGGAGGAACAUGUGGUUUAAUUCGAUGAUACGCGAGGAAUCUUACCCGGGCUUAAAUUGCAAAUGAAUAAUCUGGAAACAGGUUAGCCGCAAGGCAUUUGUGAAGGUGCUGCAUGGUUGUCGUCAGCUCGUGCCGUGAGGUGUCGGCUUAAGUGCCAUAACGAGCGCAACCCUUAUCUUUAGUUACUAACAGGUUAUGCUGAGGACUCUAGAGAGACUGCCGUCGUAAGAUGUGAGGAAGGUGGGGAU